AACACAGGCUACUUCAUCGCGAGAACCUAGCUUUUAGCUACUUCUUGAGGAAAGUCCGAACAACGUACUGCAUCGCGCCAGCUAACGGCUGGGCAAAGAGCUUUGCUCUUUGACGGAAAGUGUCGCAGAAAAUAACCGCCCAUUUUGGGUAAGGGUGAAAACCUGCAGGUAAGAGCGCAGGCAGGCUACUGGCAACAGCAGCCUGGGAUAAACCCCGCGAGUUGAAAUGCCAUGUAUACCAGCGCUUGAGGGUUGCAGGCCCAAUGCUGGAGGGUAGGCAGAUAGAGCGUUUAUGUGAGUAAACGCCCAGAUAAAUGAUGAAGCCUUGAGGCUUAGGCCAAAAGCGACAGAAUUCGGCUUAUCGGCCUGUGUUUUUU
Molecule: RNase P RNA, 377 nt
Filed under: Saprospira sp. CCB-QB6
Lineage: Bacteria; Pseudomonadati; Bacteroidota; Saprospiria; Saprospirales; Saprospiraceae
Description: RNase P RNA component class A
Rfam family: Bacterial RNase P class A
About the family: Ribonuclease P (RNase P) is a ubiquitous endoribonuclease, found in archaea, bacteria and eukarya as well as chloroplasts and mitochondria. Its best characterised activity is the generation of mature 5'-ends of tRNAs by cleaving the 5'-leader elements of precursor-tRNAs.
Source: RNAcentral